AGCGAUCCCGUAGCUGUCUGAGAGGAUGAUCAGCCACAUCGGACUGAGACACGGCCGACUCUACGGGAGGCAGCAGUGGGAAUAUUGGACAAUGGGCAACCCUGAUCCAGCCAUGCCGCGUGUGUGAAGAAGGCCUCGGGUUGUAAAGCACUUUCAGCGAGGAAGAACGCCUAGUGGUUAAUACCCAUUAGGAAAGACAUCACUCGCAGAAGAAGCACCGGCUAACUCCGUGCCAGCAGCCGCGGUAAUACGGAGGGUGCAAGCGUUAAUCGGAAUUACUGGGCGUAAAGCGCGCGUAGGUGGCUUGAUAAGCCGGUUGUGAAAGCCCCGGGCUCAACCUGGGAACGGCAUCCGGAACUGUCAGGCUAGAGUGCAGGAGAGGAAGGUAGAAUUCCCGGUGUAGCGGUGAAAUGCGUAGAGAUCGGGAGGAAUACCAGUGGCGAAGGCGGCCUUCUGGACUGACACUGACACUGAGGUGCGAAAGCGUGGGUAGCAAACAGGAUUAGAUACCCUGGUAGUCCACGCCGUAAACGAUGUCGACCAGCCGUUGGGUGCCUAGCGCACUUUGUGGCGAAGUUAACGCGAUAAGUCGACCGCCUGGGGAGUACGGCCGCAAGGUUAAAACUCAAAUGAAUUGACGGGGGCCCGCACAAGCGGUGGAGCAUGUGGUUUAAUUCGAUGCAACGCGAAGAACCUUACCUACCCUUGACAUCGACAGAAGCCGAGAGAGAUCUUGGUGUGCCUUCGGGAACUGUCAGACAGGUGCUGCAUGGCUGUCGUCAGCUCGUGUUGUGAAAUGUUGGGUUAAGUCCCGUAACGAGCGCAACCCUUGUCCUUAUUUGCCAGCGCGUAAUGGCGGGAACUCUAAGGAGACUGCCGGUGACAAACCGGAGGAAGGUGGGGACGACGUCAAGUCAUCAUGGCCCUUACGGGUAGGGCUACACACGUGCUACAAUGGCCGGUACAAAGGGCAGCGAGCUCGCGAGAGUCAGCGAAUCCCUUAAAGCCGGUCUCAGUCCGGAUCGGAGUCUGCAACUCGACUCCGUGAAGUCGGAAUCGCUAGUAAUCGGAAUCAGAAGCCG
RNAcentral lists this ribosomal RNA (1082 nucleotides) under uncultured bacterium. RNAcentral's name for it is "bacterial SSU rRNA". It matches the Rfam family "Bacterial small subunit ribosomal RNA", at positions 272 to 1361 of the family's 1533-position model. The record is from RNAcentral.